ACUGCUACACCACCGGGCCAGCCCAUAUAUAAGCUACUUUUUAAAUUUAUGAUGUCAUGAACAUCGUUCCACAUCACAGCUGUGGGGUGUUGACCCAAUAAUCCCACCUCUCUGAACCUCCCUGUCCUCAUCUGUAGAAUGGGGAUGCACUGUGAGAACGACUUACCAGAAUGGGGGCCAGCGCCUGGCACGGAGAACACCCUCAGCAGAGGGCCACAGCUAUAGCUAAAGUCCUUGUUACCAUCUCUGUGUCCUGGUUUUCAAAUGGCUUUUAGUGGCCAGCCCUCAUAUGGAGGCACCAUACAUUAUUCAAUUUGUCCCUAUUCAUGGACUUUUAGGUGGUUUCUGAAUUUCCACCGUCAUAAAUGUCCCUGCCAUUAACACAACCAUUAAGAGUUCCCCUGACAACUUGGGAAACCAGUGAAAGAGAACAAGCUACGCCACCUGUCUGAACCUGAGGCUGUGGAACACGAGAGGCACAUCAUUCUCUUCACGGCCCAGUUUUAGAAACAUUUCUAAACGCUCAGCCCACCCUCCCUGCCCCCGCAAGUCCUGUCAAGGGGCUAACCGUGGGGCUCCUGGGCUAAACCCUGGAUAAUUUUUCCUGCUUUCAUAUCAAGCCCAAACCCCCAGCUUCCUGCCUUGAGACCACCCCAGGAGUAUACUCGAACACCUGCGACAUGCCCCUUCUAUUCUUUUCUAUUUGUUUUUAAGUUAUGUACGGAUGUGCAAUAUUUGUUGUAUACAAGGUGUGUGUAAACAUAUUUGUACAGUUUAAAGAGCAACAGUAAAAUGAAUUCUCCUGUAUCUACCACCCAGAGCAAGACACAGAACCUUCGAUACCCUGGAGCGCCCACACCCACGCCUGCUCUCCUGCGGGGAGCUUUCCCGGAGGGUACGGGUCGGAAGGGGAGGGUCGGCUGGAAACAGCGGCGGUCAACAAACCAGAUUCCACCGGCGCCCUUGCUUGUCCCCAGCGGCUCUGUGGCCUUGGGCAUGUUAGUCAACUCUGAGAGCGUCUGUUGAUAAAGCUUGAGUCUGGUGUCUGGCACCAAGUCGCUGCCACAGCACAAAAGCUGCUGUUUUCAUCAUGGGGAUCGUUUCUGGACAGGGCAUGCAGAAGCACGCUCGCCCGGCUCUGCCAGUCCUUAGCACUGUGGUUCCAGGCAGGGCAAGUCCCAGGCCUCAGUUUCUCAGCUGGGAAGUAGAGAGGAGAGGCUCCCUAGAAACUCUCAAAUUUCCUUUCUUUCUGGCUCUGGCCUUUUGUAAUUCUACCAAUUAUUAAGCCAAGGAAAAUGGGGUAUGUUGAAGCAAGAACUUAACACGAGGGCUCAGUAGACAGUGCCCUUAGCUGGACUCCAGAAAAAGACGAUGUCACUGGCCCAAGGUCACGUGGUCAGGAGGUAAUAAUCUGGUUAAUAAUGACAAUAUUCUAGGCACUUAUUCUGGGCUCCCUGUGUUAAAGGCUGCACAUGGAUUGUUUUAUUUUACUCCGAAGACAAGACUCUCUGAUGGAUGCUAUUCUUCGAUGCCUAUUUUACAGAUGUGAAGACUGAGGCUCAGAAAGGCUGUAUGGCUUGUCUGCAGUCAUAGAGCCCCUGGUCUUUUCGAGUGGUGAGCCUGUGCUCUAACCAGCACGUCUCACUUAGGGAUCUGGUUAACAUGCAGAUUCUGAUUCAGCAAGUCAGGGGUGGGCCUGAGACCCUGCGUUUCUAAGACAUCCCCAGGUGACGCUCAUGCUGUUGGUCUUCUCACCACACUGUGAGUAGCCAGGCUGAAGCUCUGCACCGCCAUCCCAGCGCCAGGUGGAGGAGGGGCCGGGUCUUCCCACUCCUUUGUCUCAGUGAGCAUAAACCUCAUUUUUGGGGAUCUGCCUCCGCUUGGUUACCCGCGGAAACCAGGUGAAGGAGGGAAGAGGCCUUGGGGAUAUACACACAGGUGGUAAAACCUAAGAAGCAGACCAAAACUAUGAGUAACCAAGUCUAGGGGCCUCGUCCUCCACCCGUCCUGGCCCAGCACCCGCCCAUCCGCAGCAUCAAGCCCGGAGCACGGCCUUGGUGCCGUCCGGGGAGCGAAGGGGAGUCUUCUCAGGCCACAGGCUACUGCGGAAGUCUUUGCCCAAAAUGAGCUCUGCUUGCAUUUCCAGAUGGUUCCCGGGGCCCCUCGGCCCCCACAGCAUGAUAACCCGGCACGACUUUUCUAUCCAGGGUCCUGGCUCCACAAUGAAAUAGUGGCAGCAAUUCUGUCCUUUUGAGUCCUCAGAGGGAAACAGCUAAACAAGAGAAACACGUCUUUUACAAAACUGUGGUGCGCUGUUAUGCAAACAUAAACUCCCCGAAGUCUGCUUUUCUGGGAAUUGCAUCAGAGGAGGAAAGGAAAGAGGAGGAACAGAAAACCUCAUCUUGCCCCGAUGCUGCUGAUGCUGCUUCGCAAUAUUCUGUGCAAUGCGGAGCUGAGGAGUGGGCCUCGUGGAACGGAACAGGAGGGCAGGAAAGAGGAAUGGCCCAACGCCAAACCAGCCCUAACGGAAGAGGGGUUUACAGUCUGCACGAGAGCUUGUCUGAUGAGUAGGAAAAAGAUCUAAUCAAAGUCCUUACUGCUCCAGAUGGGUGAUGAGGCAUUGAAAUCCAGCUGCAGAGACUCGUAAUGAAUGGGCCCCAUCAUUUGCAUUUAGUUAGGGAAGACUCCCUCCUCCCUCCCCGACUUCCCACUGCACUGGGGGUGCUGACUCUGCCUGUGAGCCGACCCCAAGGAAGGUCCUUCAAUGAACUCGAUUUGCUCCUGAGACAAGUGCCCCAGAAGCAGGUACUCUAACCCCGUCCUGGAGACCCCGGGUCUUCUGGGUGGUGUGGCACCUGUAAGAGGAGGAAGGAGGGAGACCUGGGGUCCGCCUGUAGAAAUCACGCUGCCUCCAUUUCUGCCCAGCUACCUGGGGCCCUCCCGCACAUGGACCCCUUGGCGUGUAAAAAUAAACGUAUCAACAAAAUCUGGUUCAGUUCCCUCCUAAACACCAACUGAAUUAUUCGUACAAGAUUCGCCGUUUAACUGAUGCUGGCAGAAUGUUGCGUGAUUUCAACAUCAAACACAUCGCGCUUCAGUCACAGCGGCCCUGAGGAACAAAGACAGAAAAGCGUGUGGCACGCGUUAGAGACAUCAAACUGCGGCUUCGGGAAGUGGUGGCUGUCGUUCAAGCAAAGCAAGAGGUGGGACUCAGCGCUUUAAGGACUGCAAACCCACUGUUCUGAGUUGGUUUUCUUUCAACACGGUGUAGAUGAAUCCUUUUCUUUUGAUCAAGGCUUGACUGCUUUCCUGUAAUUUGGAUGAAGCAGGGAAACCAGCAGUUUUUAAUGGGAAGCCCAAGGAAAGCCUUCUAUCUGGGCCGCGUGAUGGAUUCUGAAUGGCACCAGGCUGCUGGUGGGAAAGCUGCACUGGGAGGCUGCCUCCACCCCACCCUUCAUUGGGCCAGCUCGGGGCAGCCCACACCCAACAUUAUUCUGGGCUCCAGGCCUCUCAAAGCCUCCUUUCCCUCUCUUCUACCAAUAACCUGUCCUCUCGUCCUGUAGGCCCUGCCUCUGUCUCUCCAGGCUGUGUGCCGCCACUCACGGCCACUCCACAAAGUGGGCCCACAAGCCAACAUCUCAAGCUGGGUGUCAGCAGCGGCCCCUGGUUGGUCUUCAGCCUCCAGCCUUGCCUCCCUCCGGCCUCUCCACCCACAGGGAGCCUCCUAAAGUGCACAUCUGCUCCUGGGCUUCUGUGCUUGAGCCCCCAGCGCUCCCUCUGCUCCUCAGGAUGAAGCCUUUCUCCUUGGCAUAGCCUUGGGCCCUCCACUGCUUCCCACCCUCCACCACACCGCCCCCCGCCUCCAGCCUCCUGUCUCCCCUUCUCCACCUCUACACCCAGGCAAACUCAACCACCUGCUCUGCCUCAAACACCGAGACGUCUGCAAAUGCCCUUCCCUCCUCCUGGAAAGGACUUCUUCAUUCCAGUCCCUCUCACCUUCCUAGACCCUCUUUCCACUGAACCAAUUUUCCCUCCUCUGUCUAGACUUGGCUUAGACGCCCCCUCCUCCGACUAGCCUUCUCUGACCCCUCGCACCUGGGUGAGCUGCUCUUCCCACCAACCUCUGCUACCCAGUCCGAGCCCCCCACACCAGUCGGGUGUGCUGGCUUCUGUGUCCACCCCACACCAGACAGGCUCCUUGUCUUUCCUUUAACUGGCAGUGUUUCACAGAGCUCCUGCUGUGGAACACAGGCUCCAUAAAUGUGUGCAGGACAGAUGAAUGAAUGAAUGAACGAAUGGAUGCUUGUUGGGCCUCUAGUCCAUUGCUGAAAUGGGGUUCUACAUCAGAGCUGUGUGCAGUGUGGUCCACCCAGUGGGUACCAGUUGGCAACAAAUUAAGUGUAGAAAUUGAGAGUAAGUGUUUUAAAACCUUUAUAACAAUUCAGCUGAGUACUUUGAUGUUGGCUCCGUCUAAUAAUAAAGAUG
Molecule: non-coding RNA, 4485 nt
Organism: Equus caballus (horse)
Lineage: Eukaryota; Metazoa; Chordata; Mammalia; Perissodactyla; Equidae
Source: RefSeq, a predicted model, not a curated record